UACAGAGGUCCCAAGCGUUGUUCGGAUUCACUGGGCGUAAAGGGUGCGUAGGCGGUCGGGUAAGUCUGACGUGAAAUCUCCAAGCUCAACUUGGAAAUGGCGUCGGAUACUAUUCGGCUCGAGGAAUGGAGGGGAGACUGGAAUUCUCGGUGUAGCAGUGAAAUGCGUAGAUAUCGAGAGGAACACCAGUGGCGAAGGCGGCUCACUGGACCGGUACUGACGCUGAUGCGCGAAAGCGUGGGGAGCAAACAGG
This 253-nucleotide ribosomal RNA is filed under the name uncultured bacterium. Its description in RNAcentral is "partial 16S ribosomal RNA". It matches the Rfam family "Bacterial small subunit ribosomal RNA", at positions 524 to 776 of the family's 1533-position model. The record is from RNAcentral.